RNAcentral lists this ribosomal RNA (252 nucleotides) under uncultured Lactobacillus sp. RNAcentral describes it as "partial 16S ribosomal RNA". It matches the Rfam family "Bacterial small subunit ribosomal RNA", at positions 116 to 354 of the family's 1533-position model. Lineage: Bacteria; Bacillati; Bacillota; Bacilli; Lactobacillales; Lactobacillaceae. The record is from RNAcentral.
CGUGGGUAACCUGCCCAAGAGAUCGGGAUAACACCUGGAAACAGAUGCUAAUACCGGAUAACAACAGAUGAUGCCUAUCAACUGUUUAAAAGAUGGUUCUGCUAUCACUCUUGGAUGGACCUGCGGUGCAUUAGCUAGUUGGUAGGGUAACGGCCUACCAAGGCGAUGAUGCAUAGCCGAGUUGAGAGACUCGAUCGGCCACAUUGGGUACUGAGACACGGGCCCCAAACUCCGUACGGGGAGGCAGCAGAC